RNA transcript from Rhododendron vialii, 2626 nucleotides. RefSeq lists it as uncharacterized. The transcript has 2 exons. NCBI's taxonomy places the organism in Eukaryota, Viridiplantae, Streptophyta, Magnoliopsida, Ericales, Ericaceae. The record is from RefSeq and is a predicted model, not a curated record.
AGACUCGUCCCUAAUUUUAAUUUUUAUUUAUUGAUGAUGUGGUUACGUGGAAUUAUAAUUUGAUAAUUUUGUGUGCAAUGAAUUUUAUUUUAUAUAUGUAGAUGUAUGUUUGGUCGUGCGAGCCCGAGCCCGUGGGCCAUAGGGCGAGAGUGUUGGGAAGUGGGAACCCAUGUCGGAUAGCUUUUAAAAUUAGUUAAGACUUAUUUUUAAAACUCAUGGGGUAUUAGUGUAGCUACAUAUUAAAUUCUAGGACUUGAGGAAGUGCCUAUGGUAGUUGAGGGGGUGUAGUGUAAUAACUACACAUAAAUCUCUAAAAUGGGAUCAGAGAGCCAAUUCCUCAUUUCUUCUUCGUUUUUUCUUUUCCUGCGUCUCCUUUCUCUGUAUUCUCUCUCUCAAACCCUAGACUUCAAUCCCAAAAUCGGAGGCCAAGACUCGCAAAUCUCGCAAAAAGGCAAGAAGAAAACGUGAUCUACGGACAAAGGGCUAUGCCUCUAUCCAAACAAAAUCUCAAUCGGUCAAAGUUCGAGAUUCUUGCAUUUUGGGGAUUUCACUCCUUGAGUUAUCUCAAGCUUCUUCGACACAAGUGAAAAGAUGAGGAUGGAAGAAAAGCAACAGGAAAGAAAGAACGCAGCAACAGGUAAUGUGUUCAAGCACAAAGAAGGACGAAGGGGAACAGACUGCUUAUUCAAUACAACUUGGAACACAAGUAAAUCUUAACCUAUGUAUCUUUUCCAGUUUCCUUUUCAUUUCAUGAAGCAAAUUUAGUAUGGAUAAUCAUAAAGCUUGCAUCUUUUCACGUUUGCUUUUAAUUUUUCAAUCCAAGAAGCAAAUUUAGUAUUGAUAAUCACAGAGCAUAAACUUGAUUCUUGAUGCAACAUGAAAAUAGUGACAUAGAAGUACAAUACAAGCUUCAUUCACCAAAUCUACCCCAUAACCAAACAGAUCUAUCAUAAUCAAGGAAUCAAACGGAAAGUACACAAUAAAGAAAAAAUCGAGAUCUAAGCAUCUAACCUGAUAGUAACUAUACUCAGUAGAACUUAAGGACUUGGCACUCAAAGUAGGAAGAUCGACGGAUAUUGCACUAUAUGUGGUUUUAGAUGCUAGAAAAGGACAGUGGCAAUAGAUGGCCUUAUACACAGCUGGAGCUGUUUUGUAAAACACACUCGUUCAACUUGAAAUCCAUUGUUGGGAAUAGACUUUGACCUAAUUGAGUUGGAGCUUUGACUUUGGGAACUUCACAUAGUAUAAGAAUGUAAAUACCAACACAUUGUCGGGAAUGGACGACCUAAUUGAGUUGGAACUUUGGCUUUGGCAACUUCACACCGUUAGAAGAAAUACCAACACAUUCGGGAUUAAGUACUGACCAUUAUGAACUAUACUGCCCCCACCCAUAAGGCAUGCAACGACUUCUCCCAGUUAUAAUACCUAGGGCACAAAUCCCGAUUGCAUGCUGCUAUCUUCAGUUGAAUUCCAACGUUCCAAUUAUUAAACCACCAAACCAGCAACAGAGAUGUAUGGUACAAAUGCAACUUACAAAGAAUUUAAAACAUAAAAGGGAGACAGCAUAAUGACACCUUGCCUUGCCUGGUCUUAUCAAAGAUAAUCCAAAUAUCAAUGGAAAGCAUCAUCAAGCACUUUGUGCUGAGUAUCAUCAUUCUACCUCAGAAACAUACUAUGGCGCAUAUGCAAAGGAGCCAUAAAUUUGGGGAAAGGAAGGAAGCAAGAUAGCAUGGGGUGUAAACUCACAGCACAGGGCCAUGCUUCGGAUCAGAGUAAAUUUUCCUUGUUUAACUGCUUGAACCAUUGAGAACCUUCUUCCUUAUUGUGAAAGGGAAUUACACAUGUUGGAUAUCUACAGUUAUGGUGUCAUACAUAUAAGUCUUGAUGCAACAUGCAAAAGUUAGUGAUCUAAACCAGGAUAAUUAUACCACACAUUCUAUGUCAAAGGUAAAUAGAUCGACGUCAAUCUAGUGAAAAACAGAAGAAAAAAGGAGAUAACUAAGUUCAUCAUAUGCUACCAGAAAACCCACACAUAACAUAAACAAUCAAAUCCAGCCAUAUGUUACAAAGAGAAAUGGCAUACACCAGGUUCAUUUAGGCAUUUUACCAGGCCAUUACCAUUACCGAACAUAAUGGUAGUGGCAUGAUUUUAACAUGAAGUUGGACCUGUAUGGUGCUAGGGAAAGUUGUCAGUCAAUUCUUAAAACUCGCAUCUAGGAACAAUUUAAAACCCACCGAAGGCUGCAAAACAAGCAUUGGCCUUCUCCUAAUUGAGUCUUGUACUUUGGUUUUGGGUGCGACGCGCUAAUAUGGGAUCAAGCCAUUAGGAUGGAAGGAACAAAGUUCAGCACCAAGGGAGUUCCUUUUGGUGCAGUCACUAUGCAAGAAACCGUGGCAUGAUCUCUGCCCCGUCAUCCUCAGCAACCGAAGUUGUGCGUCCUGAUUCAAGUCUUUCCUUCUCCCUCCCUCCCUCCCUCUCUCUCUCCCAAAAAAAUCGAAAACCUCUUCUUCCUUUGUUAAUGAGCUUCCAUCCUAGACAUGCUGCCAAUUCUACCGAAAGCCAUUGUGUUCUAUUUCCCCCGCCAGCAACUGCCCUUCUUUCCCGACCCAUCCUCAAACAGGUGAU